Molecule: long non-coding RNA, 4923 nt
Organism: Lates calcarifer (barramundi perch)
Lineage: Eukaryota; Metazoa; Chordata; Actinopteri; Centropomidae
Exons: 4
Source: RefSeq, a predicted model, not a curated record
UAUGGUGUCAAAAAAUGUCAUGAUAUAGUAUGGUGUCAAAAAACAAAAAUUUAUCAUAGUAUAGUAAGGAGUCAAAAAAUGUCAAAACAUCAUAAUUUCGUACAGUGUAAAAAAUGGUGAAAAAAAUGUUCUAGUACAGUAUGGUGUCAACAAGCGCAAAAAAAGGUCAUAGUAUAGUAUGGCGUCAAAACGUUUCAAAAAAUGACAUAGUAUAGUAUGGUGUCAAAAAAUGUCAUGAUAUAGUAUGGUGUCAAAAAACAUAAAAAUUUGUAAUAGUAUAGUAAGGAGUCAAAAAAUGUCAAAACAUCAUAAUUUCGUACAGUGUAAAAAAUGGUGAAAAAAAUGUUCUAGUAUAGUAUGGUGUCAAAAAGCGCAAAAAAAGGUCAUAGUAUAGUAUGGCGUCAAAACGUUUCAAAAAAUGACAUAGUAUAGUAUGGUGUCAAAAAAUGUCAUGAUAUAGUAUGGCGUCAAAAAACAUAAAAAUUUGUAAUAGUAUAGUAAGGAGUCAAAAAAUGUCAAAACGUCUUAAUUUAGUACAGUGUAAAAAAUGGUGAAAAAAAUGUUCUAGUAUAGUAUGGUGUCAAAAAGCGCAAAAAAAGGUCAUAGUAUAGUAUGGCGUCAAAACGUUUCAAAAAAUGACAUAGUAUAGUAUGGUGUCAAAAAAUGUCAUGAUAUAGUAUGGUGUCAAAAAACAAAAAUUUAUCAUAGUAUAGUAAGGAGUCAAAAAAUGUCAAAACAUCAUAAUUUCGUACAGUGUAAAAAAUGGUGAAAAAAAUGUUCUAGUACAGUAUGGUGUCAACAAGCGCAAAAAAAGGUCAUAGUAUAGUAUGGCGUCAAAACGUUUCAAAAAAUGACAUAGUAUAGUAUGGUGUCAAAAAAUGUCAUGAUAUAGUAUGGUGUCAAAAAACAUAAAAAUUUGUAAUAGUAUAGUAAGGAGUCAAAAAAUGUCAAAACGUCUUAAUUUAGUACAGUGUAAAAAAUGGUGAAAAAAAUGUUCUAGUAUAGUAUGGUGUCAAAAAGCGCAAAAAAAAGGUCAUAGUAUAGUAUGGCGUCAAAAAAUGUAUUAGUAUAGUAAGGAGUCAAAAUAUAUCAAAAAAUGACAAUACAGUAUGGCGUCAAAAAUGGUCAAAAAAUGUCAUAGUAUAAUGUCAAAAAACAUAAAAAUUUGUCAUAGUAUAGUAAGGAGUCAAAAAAUGUCAAAACGUCAUAAUUUCGUACAGUGUAAAAAAUGGUGAAAAAAAUGUUCUAGUAUAGUAUGGUGUCAAAAAGCGCAAAAAAAGGUCAUAGUAUAGUAUGGCGUCAAAACGUUUCAAAAAAUGACAUAGUAUAGUAUGGUGUCAAAAAAUGUCAUGAUAUAGUAUGGCGUCAAAAAACAAAAAUUUGUAAUAGUAUAGUAAGGAGUCAAAAAAUGUCAAAACGUCAUAAUUUAGUACAGUGUAAAAAAUGGUGAAAAAAAUGUUCUAGUAUAGUAUGGUGUCAAAAAGCGCAAAAAAAAGGUCAUAGUAUAGUAUGGCGUCAAAAAAUGUAUUAGUAUAGUAAGGAGUCAAAAUAUAUCAAAAAAUGACAAUACAGUAUGGCGUCAAAAAUGGUCAAAAAAUGUCAUAGUAUAAUGUCAAAAAACAUAAAAAUUUGUCAUAGUAUAGUAAGGAGUCAAAAAAUGUCAAAACGUCAUAAUUUCGUACAGUGUAAAAAAUGGUGAAAAAAAUGUUCUAGUAUAGUAUGGUGUCAAAAAGCGCAAAAAAAGGUCAUAGUAUAGUAUGGCGUCAAAACGUUUCAAAAAAUGACAUAGUAUAGUAUGGUGUCAAAAAAUGUCAUGAUAUAGUAUGGCGUCAAAAAACAAAAAUUUGUAAUAGUAUAGUAAGGAGUCAAAAAAUGUCAAAACGUCAUAAUUUAGUACAGUGUAAAAAAUGGUGAAAAAAAUGUUCUAGUAUAGUAUGGUGUCAAAAAGCGCAAAAAAAGGUCAUAGUAUAGUAUGGCGUCAAAACGUUUCAAAAAAUGACAUAGUAUAGUAUGGUGUCAAAAAAUGUCAUGAUAUAGUAUGGUGUCAAAAAACAAAAAUUUAUCAUAGUAUAGUAAGGAGUCAAAAAAUGUCAAAACAUCAUAAUUUCGUACAGUGUAAAAAAUGGUGAAAAAAAUGUUCUAGUACAGUAUGGUGUCAACAAGCGCAAAAAAAGGUCAUAGUAUAGUAUGGCGUCAAAACGUUUCAAAAAAUGACAUAGUAUAGUAUGGUGUCAAAAAAUGUCAUGAUAUAGUAUGGUGUCAAAAAACAAAAAUUUAUCAUAGUAUAGUAAGGAGUCAAAAAAUGUCAAAACAUCAUAAUUUCGUACAGUGUAAAAAAUGGUGAAAAAAAUGUUCUAGUACAGUAUGGUGUCAACAAGCGCAAAAAAAGGUCAUAGUAUAGUAUGGCGUCAAAACGUUUCAAAAAAUGACAUAGUAUAGUAUGGUGUCAAAAAAUGUCAUGAUAUAGUAUGGUGUCAAAAAACAAAAAUUUAUCAUAGUAUAGUAAGGAGUCAAAAAAUGUCAAAACAUCAUAAUUUCGUACAGUGUAAAAAAUGGUGAAAAAAAUGUUCUAGUACAGUAUGGUGUCAACAAGCGCAAAAAAAGGUCAUAGUAUAGUAUGGCGUCAAAACGUUUCAAAAAAUGACAUAGUAUAGUAUGGUGUCAAAAAAUGUCAUGAUAUAGUAUGGUGUCAAAAAACAUAAAAAUUUGUAAUAGUAUAGUAAGGAGUCAAAAAAUGUCAAAACAUCAUAAUUUCGUACAGUGUAAAAAAUGGUGAAAAAAAUGUUCUAGUAUAGUAUGGUGUCAAAAAGCGCAAAAAAAGGUCAUAGUAUAGUAUGGCGUCAAAACGUUUCAAAAAAUGACAUAGUAUAGUAUGGUGUCAAAAAAUGUCAUGAUAUAGUAUGGCGUCAAAAAACAUAAAAAUUUGUAAUAGUAUAGUAAGGAGUCAAAAAAUGUCAAAACGUCUUAAUUUAGUACAGUGUAAAAAAUGGUGAAAAAAAUGUUUAUUAUAGUAUGGUGUCAAAAAGCGCAAAAAAAGGUCAUAGUAUAGUAUGGCGUCAAAACGUUUCAAAAAAUGACAUAGUAUAGUAUGGUGUCAAAAAAUGUCAUGAUAUAGUAUGGCGUCAAAAAACAUAAAAAAUUGUAAUAGUAUAGUAAGGAGUCAAAAAAUGUCAAAACGUCUUAAUUUAGUACAGUGUAAAAAAUGGUGAAAAAAAUGUUCUAGUAUAGUAUGGUGUCAAAAAGCGCAAAAAAAGGUCAUAGUAUAGUAUGGCGUCAAAACGUUUCAAAAAAUGACAUAGUAUAGUAUGGUGUCAAAAAACAAAAAUUUAUCAUAGUAUAGUAAGGAGUCAAAAAAUGUCAAAACAUCAUAAUUUCGUACAGUGUAAAAAAUGGUGAAAAAAAUGUUCUAGUACAGUAUGGUGUCAACAAGCGCAAAAAAAGGUCAUAGUAUAGUAUGGCGUCAAAACGUUUCAAAAAAUGACAUAGUAUAGUAUGGUGUCAAAAAAUGUCAUGAUAUAGUAUGGUGUCAAAAAACAUAAAAAUUUGUAAUAGUAUAGUAAGGAGUCAAAAAAUGUCAAAACGUCUUAAUUUAGUACAGUGUAAAAAAUGGUGAAAAAAAUGUUCUAGUAUAGUAUGGUGUCAAAAAGCGCAAAAAAAAGUCAUAGUAUAGUAUGACGUCAAAAAAUGUCAAAACGUCAUAAUUUAGUACAGUGUAAAAAAUGGUGAAAAAAAUGUUCUAGUAUAGUAUGGUGUCAAAAAGCGCAAAAAAAGGUCAUAGUAUAGUAUGGCGUCAAAACGUUUCAAAAUAUGACAUAGUAUAGUAUGGUGUCAAAAAAUAUAAAAAUUUGUAAUAGUAUAGUAAGGAGUCAAAAAAUGUCAAAACGUCUUAAUUUAGUACAGUGUAAAAAAUGGUGAAAAAAAUGUUUAUUAUAGUAUGGUGUCAAAAAGCGCAAAAAAAAGUCAUAGUAUAGUAUGACGUCAAAAAAUGUCAAAACGUCAUAAUUUAGUACAGUGUAAAAAAUGGUGAAAAAAAUGUUCUAGUACAGUAUGGUGUCAAAAAGCGCAAAAAAAGGUCAUAGUAUAGUAUGGCGUCAAAACGUUUCAAAAAAUGACAUAGUAUAGUAUGGUGUCAAAAAAUGUCAUGAUAUAGUAUGGCGUCAAAAAACAUAAAAAUUUGUAAUAGUAUAGUAAGGAGUCAAAAAAUGUCAAAACGUCUUAAUUUAGUACAGUGUAAAAAAUGGUGAAAAAAAUGUUUAUUAUAGUAUGGUGUCAAAAAGCAGAAAAAAAAUAUUGUAUACUAUGGCGGCUAAACAUGUCAAAACAUCAUAGUUUAGUAUGGCAUUAACAAAAAUGUCACAGUAUAGCAAGGUGUCAAAAAACUUUAAAAAAUAUCAUAGUAUUAGUAAGGCAGCACAAAACAUCAAAAAAUAUCACAUCCAAAGGCAUUUUCUUAGUCACAUGGAAGCUACUAAUGUAACUGGUUUUAGUUUACCUUACCUUGUGUAUCACAAAUUGUAUCAGGAUAGGAUGUAACUUUGCUAAUGUAUGUAUUGACUUCAGCUUUGUUGUUGUUUAUGUUUACAGUCAGGUUAAUGAUUAAUGUUACCAUGUUUGCACAUGACUUUGCAUGCAACAGAAGAAUAUCCACCCUUUGACCUGCCACCUUCUGACUUGGCCUUCAAGGAACACUCCUUUGUUAAUCUAACCCAUGUGCCAUGAAGUCAAUCCUAGAGGCCAUCUUCUUUUUCAGCCAUCUUAGUUUUAAAUCCUUUGUUGUAAGCCAUGCAGUUUAAGACAAUGGAACUGCCUUAAAGCAGCCAUCUUAUUUUUGUUUUCCACAGACACACACACACACACACACCUCUACCCAGUGUUUGUAGAUCAGGUUAUAUUUUGUGUUUGUCAUGUCACUUUGGUAUUUGU